This is a long non-coding RNA of Pseudophryne corroboree (corroboree frog), 608 nucleotides long. RefSeq lists it as uncharacterized. The record is from RefSeq and is a predicted model, not a curated record. Lineage: Eukaryota; Metazoa; Chordata; Amphibia; Anura; Myobatrachidae. The transcript has 5 exons.
CAGCUUUACCCCUAUAUUAUAGUUUCUUUUUUUAACCAACAUCACUGAAAGCACAAAUCAUGGAGAAGCGUUUUAGAGAUUGAUGUCGUGGAGAAACAGUUACACCCUUUACAUGCCAUGGCCCGGCCACUGUGAUGUCUAAAAUUCAUCAAUGAAUUGUGAUGUCACAAGUCUUCAUGCUUCCAGCUGCUUCCAGGCUGCAACAGGCCAUUACCUCCCGGAACAGCUAGAAGACCAGACUUGUCGUGCUCAACAAUGUCAGGAAUAAUGAACAUAAUGAUCAGAUGUGCCAGGAGAUUAGAUGAUGGCCUGACCAUCAUUGAAAAUAACAUUCUUAGAGUUGUGGACGUCUAUGAGCUGGCAAGAAAAGCGCGGAGGCCAAGGCAGAGGGCAUCUAAAAAGAACACGAUGUCCUGGGAUUCGAAUGUCCCUUAUGGAAAACUCCGAUAGACAUCUAGGAGUAUGGGUGUGACCUCUGCGCUGGUGUGGGUAUUUGUAUAACAUCAAUGUAAGCUGCUGCCUAAUCCAUGUAGAGUCAAUGGGGGGUAAUGGUGAUGUCAGCUGUGAUCACGCAGUAAUCCUCUUGUCUCUAGGAGAGUGUGGCAGAC